UCUCCGUUGGUGAACCAGCGAAGGGAUCAUUACCGAGUGCAAACUCAUAACCCUUUGUGAACCUAUUUCUGUUGCUUCGGCGCCUCGCUCUCGGGCGUGCCCGCCGGUAAUAUCAGUAUCUCUGUUUGAACCCGACGAUACUUCUGAGUGUUCUUAGCGAACAGUUAAAACUUUUAACAACGGAUCUCUUGGCUCUA
RNAcentral lists this unclassified non-coding RNA (197 nucleotides) under plant metagenome. RNAcentral describes it as "partial contains small subunit ribosomal RNA, internal transcribed spacer 1, and 5.8S ribosomal RNA". The record is from RNAcentral.